Molecule: ribosomal RNA, 292 nt
Filed under: uncultured prokaryote
Description: partial 16S ribosomal RNA
Rfam family: Bacterial small subunit ribosomal RNA
Source: RNAcentral
GUGUUAUCCGCCGCGGUAAUACGAAGGGGGCUAGCGUGGUUCGGAUUUACUGGGCGUAAAGCGCACGUAGGCGGACUAUUAAGUCAGGGGUGAAAUCCCGGGGCUCAACCCCGGAACUGCCUUUGAUACUGGUAGUCUUGAGUUCGAGAGAGGUGAGUGGAAUUCCGAGUGUAGAGGUGAAAUUCGUAGAUAUUCGGAGGAACACCAGUGGCGAAGGCGGCUCACUGGCUCGAUACUGACGCUGAGGUGCGAAAGCGUGGGGAGCAAACAGGAUUAGAAACCCCCGUAGUUC